Molecule: ribosomal RNA, 535 nt
Filed under: uncultured bacterium
Lineage: Bacteria
Description: bacterial SSU rRNA
Rfam family: Bacterial small subunit ribosomal RNA
Source: RNAcentral
UUGGCCUUGACAUACUAAGAACUUUCCAGAGAUGGAUUGGUGCCUUCGGGAACUUAGAUACAGGUGCUGCAUGGCUGUCGUCAGCUCGUGUCGUGAGAUGUUGGGUUAAGUCCGCAACGAGCCGCAACCCUUUUCCUUAUUUGCCAGCGGGUAAUGCCGGGAACUUUAAGGAUACUGCCAGUGACAAACUGGAGGAAGGCGGGGACGACGUCAAGUCAUCAUGGCCCUUACGGCCAGGGCUACACACGUGCUACAAUGGUCGGUACAAAGGGUUGCUACCUCGCGAGAGGAUGCUAAUCUCAAAAAGCCGAUCGUAGUCCGGAUCGCAGUCUGCAACUCGACUGCGUGAAGUCGGAAUCGCUAGUAAUCGCGGAUCAGAAUGCCGCGGUGAAUACGUUCCCGGGCCUUGUACACACCGCCCGUCACACCAUGGGAGUUUGUUGCACCAGAAGUAGGUAGUCUAACCGCAAGGAGGACGCUUACCACGGUGUGGCCGAUGACUGGGGUGAAGUCGUAACAAGGUAGGCGUAGAUGA